RNAcentral lists this long non-coding RNA (374 nucleotides) under Brassica rapa (field mustard). Its description in RNAcentral is "long non-coding RNA (BRAP_LNC006246)". Lineage: Eukaryota; Viridiplantae; Streptophyta; Magnoliopsida; Brassicales; Brassicaceae. The record is from RNAcentral.
UUUAAUGUGUUUUUUUUUAAUAUGUGUGAAAUACUAAACAGGGAAACACACCUAUGAUAAAAAAUCAAAAUAAAUAAAUCAUCACUUUCAGCAAAUUAUAACAGAACUUGAUGUAUAGCUCGCUCACCAUUUUCUAUUAAGGACGUUCAGAAAAUUUUGUUUCAAGUUACAUCAUAUUUUUAAAUUUCUGUUUAAAUUUUUAUGUUUAAUGAUUUUUUUUACUUUUUUAUUUUUAAUUAGUGAAUCAUAGUUAGUUAGAUAAUUAAUAAUGUUUUUGUUUUAAAAUAUAUAUAAUUACAUAUUUAUUAAUCUAUGUAUAUAAAUUCGUAGCAUCAAAUAACAGAAAACGGAAUGAAUAUUUCAAAAGUACUAAU